AUGGGCUCGAUCCCGAGCAGCCAGCCACAUCUAGCCUCCAGCCGCCCGAGGCCGCAUCAGCUACUCAAGGCCCCGCGCGCCCCUGCUCCUCCCCAAGCAUGCUCCCGCGCCGCCGGCAGCCGCCUUCGUCCGCGGCCACAUGAGCCAGCAGCAGCGUUGCCCCGCCCGAGCUCCUGGCCUGUGCGCCUCCUGCCCGACCACGCCUCGUCCCAGCCGCCCGCUCACCGCAGCUCCACGCCACACGCCGCCUGCCGCAGGAAGCAGGACCUGCCCGCGGCCCCUUCCCCUUCUCCUGUCUGCGGAUCUCGCCGGAUCCGGUGUCGGGUGGGGGCAAGUGAGGUAGGUUGUUAUUUUGAGGUGUUUUUGGCAAAAAGAACCCCUCUAACGCCAUCUCCGAUGAUGUUAUGCCACGUCAGCAAAAUACGGGACCCACAUGUCAUAAACGCGCUCAAUCGGCCCUAA
Molecule: ribosomal RNA, 462 nt
Filed under: Triticum aestivum (bread wheat)
Lineage: Eukaryota; Viridiplantae; Streptophyta; Magnoliopsida; Poales; Poaceae
Description: partial small subunit ribosomal RNA
Source: RNAcentral